Molecule: long non-coding RNA, 1515 nt
Filed under: Dromaius novaehollandiae (emu)
Lineage: Eukaryota; Metazoa; Chordata; Aves; Casuariiformes; Dromaiidae
Description: lncRNA (ENSDNVG00000005530.1)
Source: RNAcentral
UGGUCAGCCAAGUACUCCUUGUAAUUCAGAAGUGCCACUCACUUCUCUAGAUACAGGAGACUUCAGCAGAGACCAAUUCACUACAGUAGGACUUUUUCAACUUUGUAAAAAUAAACGCUGGCAUUUAAAGUUACCUUAAAAAAGCUAAGUAGCUGACUGUUGGUUGUCCAUCUCCACAGAACACUUUCAAGCAGGGAGUUUAUUUCUACAUUGAAUUUAACUUAAACCCAAAAAAGGGAACUUCUGUUUGCAAAGCAACUACUCAGGAUGUGACUGUUGUUUCCUAAUAUAGCCAUGUGACCUGGCUUUUUUUUUUUUUUUUUUUAAAGACACUGCAAAAGAGCUAAAUCCAGAGAAUUUCGGUGAAACCACUCCAUUGCCAAAACCUCAGAAUGAUCUUACUAACAAGCUGGAUAUCAGUCCUAACAACAUUUCUUCUUUCCUUACAUUUCUGGAGAGCAAAGGUCUAUGCCUCUGGAAAUUCAGAGGAGGAAAUAGAUUUCACAUAUGUUAUCAUAGGAGUUACUCUGGGAACCUUUCUAUCAGUUGCUUUUGUAGCAGUAAUAAUCUGUAUGAUCAGAAAAAAUAUGCUUGACAAUGCCUUUGGAGAAUCAGAUGGCAAAAUGGAUAGAAGGUCAAAUAUGGGAUCAAGUCAGAACAGAGAAGAUGCCAACAUAUCAGGGCAAAAAAGUACAAAUGAUCAAUAAUCCUUUUGCAAUCAACAGUUACCUAGUCUGAGGAUCAAUGGAAGUCUCUUGGCCACAGGCAGGAAUCUCACCAACAGCAAUUCCUUUGCUUGUUCUGUAAUUGAAAGACUGACUGAUUGGUUACAAGAAGAGUUUACAGUGUAUGCUAACUUCAGUCAUCUGCGCACAAAAAGCCUGCAAUCCCCAAUACUACGGAUAUGAACAAAAUGUAUGAGGAAAAUAGAAAAGAUGACAUCUGCUCAUUAAUAGGCCCUGUUUAGCCUGGGAUAAGUAUAUGAUUGAUUUCUAAAAUCAAUUAAAUCCAGAGUAUUCAAAAAGCUAGCAAUACAUUUCAACAGAAUUCAUAGCCACACUCAUACUUCCAGUAAGGCAAAUCAUGAAUGAAGUGACUCAGAAAAUCAGUCAUCUGAGGUCAAGCAAAGCAAGAUUUCUCAAGUUUUUCAGGAAAAAAGUUUUGCGUUGAUCUAAAAAUAUUUCAUUCACGCUAAAGUGAUAUCUCUUUUUAGCUUUAGGAUUGGCUUAUUUUGUUUAACUUUAGGCCAUGAUGCUAAUUUCAGUCACUUCAAAUGAACUGGGGUCAUUUAAAAUGAAAAAUACCACUUUGAAGUUUUAACAUUUUGAUUUUAGAACCUUGAAAUCAAAACAGUUUUUUAUACCCCAGAUAAAAAGUUUCUGGACAUCUGAAAUGAAACAUUUCAUCUCAACAUUCUACAAACGAGCUAAGCGGACAUUUCCAAAGUCACCCUAUCCUUAUUUUUAAUAUAAAAUAAUUCACUCAGAUAAAUAAAUUCAAUCAGAACUAAAUCCA